AGGAUGCUAUGUCUAAAAAUGGAUCAAUCUACAAAUCUCAAGCAUCUGCCGUGAAAGCUCAUGGAGCCCCAAAUUGCAAGGGAAGUGGCUUUAGAUUGUGUAAUGGACAAUAUGCUACUUGAAUGGAAGCUUAAGAAAAUUCCAAUCUGAGUAUGACUGUAGUUGGAGGUGUCUUUGCCUAUCAGCUCAUUUUUCAUUCUUUGUCCUCUCCAUUUCUGCUCUUGCUCAUUUUCUACCACCUUCAGCUUAAAGUUUUCACAAUUCACUUUGAAUAAUUUUUGCUCCUCCCAUUUUUUCAAUGGCGAUGGAUUUCCAGGCGAGCAUCUGUCACUUGAUAUGCUUUAUGCCGAAGAUAAUGGGUCUACAUGUAUGUGAGAUAGCUGAGAAGUAUGGUGUUGCUUCAUAUUAUCCAAGGAAUCCAGGGAACAUAUGCUGCACCCCCAAGGAUAUGAGUGCAGCGUCGCAGGGGGAUCAUGAGGAGCUAGCGAAGAUAAUCACCAAGGCCUUUUCUGUUUAAUUGGCUGAGAACUGCCUAAGAAUUCGCUGCUUGAUUCUUGACAGAAAAGUCUUAUGCUGAACUAGGCUGAGUAGUUACAUGUACAUGCUACACACUAUAAUUUAGAUAAUCGGUUAGACCUCACCUCAUGUAACUUAAAAGGCUUGUUCUUGCAGAUGCUAAGUAAAAAGAUGAUGCACUACUAAGCUUUUGUUCAAACAAGCUUAUGCUUCAUGUGUUCCGUCAUUCAUUUGACAC
Molecule: long non-coding RNA, 754 nt
Organism: Lolium rigidum
Lineage: Eukaryota; Viridiplantae; Streptophyta; Magnoliopsida; Poales; Poaceae
Exons: 5
Source: RefSeq, a predicted model, not a curated record